This is a long non-coding RNA of Phacochoerus africanus (Common warthog), 398 nucleotides long. RefSeq lists it as uncharacterized. The transcript is spliced from 3 exons. NCBI's taxonomy places the organism in Eukaryota, Metazoa, Chordata, Mammalia, Artiodactyla, Suidae. The record is from RefSeq and is a predicted model, not a curated record.
GGCAGGGACCCAAGAACCACGGAUUCAGCACCAAGCAGUCGUGGGUAUUGUUCCUAGAAGAAGGUCGGCAGAACGCGGCUUCAGAAUUGAGAAAAUCAAGCCUUUUAUGGUAUUAUCAGGCCUGGUCACCCCCAGAGAAAUGCACUUCCCAGAGCCCCAACUAGACGGUAGCCACGCCCCCAAGGUCCUUGGAACCCUUGGGGAAGAUGACAAGUUAGCAAGAGGGAAAGAUUCCUAAACCGAUUGAAAUGAAUGGCUCCUGUACAGACAAACGGCAAAACAGAACACUUACCCUGGUAAGAAUGAGACUUUUGGAAACCUUGGAAGAAUGAAGUAACCCCAACGUGAUCUUCAAUUUCUCAAAGAGAUCUCUCAUUUCACCACGGCGGCGGCGCUCA